AUGGUCGGCGUGACCAGCAGCCACGAGCCGGGAGCGGCGAAGGCGCAGGGCCCCCUCCGGGGCCGGCGCCGUCCGCCGGAGACGAUCAAAGUCCGCAGCGCAGGGCGCGGCGGAUGCUUCCCACCGCGCGGUACCCCCCCACCCCCAGCGAGCACCCACCCCCACCCCCGAGCGUGGAACCCCCCGAGCGUGGCACCCCCGGAUACCUGGCGGCGGCGGCGGCGGCGGGCGGGCGGGCGCCGUCAUCUCCGCGCUCCUCUCGGCCCGAGAGGGACUCGAAAGUAUGUAGGAGAAGAGUUUCCCCUCCCACAUGGGGGGGGGGGGGGAGGAGGGAUGUCGGGGGAGAGAGAGAGAGAGAGGGCGGAAGAUGGAGAACUGCGCUGGGAAGAUGUCUCUGGCCGGCCGGGCGCGCACCCUCCGAGUCCCCCCGGCGGGGCUCGGUUAAAAAUAAAUGCGGCGGCGGGCGCGGCGGCGCGGGUCGGGCCGGAUUCCUGCGCUCGGACGGCUAAUAUGGAUGCGCAUCAGGUCCCCCGGCGGUGGGGCGCUGCGGCCGGCGGCUCGCGCUGGGAGCUGGUUGGCAGAGCCGGCGGCUCGGGAAGGGGAAAGGGAGCGGAGGAAGGGGAGGAGGAGGAGGGAGGAGGGGGGAGGAGGGGGGAGGACGCGGGGAGGAGGAGCGGCCCGGCGCGCAGCAGCCCGAGGGGCGAGGGCUGCCCGGCUCAUCCCACGCCGGCCCCCCGAGCGCACGCAGCGCCGCGGCCGUGGGGUGCGGUGGGGGGGUGGCUCCUGGGUCCUCGCGGCCCCUGGGGGAGACGCGGAGUUCGAAAAGUGCGGCGCGCCCUGCGCAGACCUCACCCUCCCCACAUCCCCAAAAGUUCUUCGGAAAGGUCGCCGCUCCCGGCUCAGCCCCGGACAUCUCGCGGCCGCCCGAGGGACCGCGAGCCGGAACGCCCGGGGGCGCGUACUCACGGCCAGGCCAGGGCGCUGGGGGCUCCCGGGCGAGGACGCCGAGGGGACCGGUGGGCUGCGGGAAGGGAUCGAGCAGAGAUGCAAACUUGUUCCGGAAAAGGAAUCAAAAUGGCGUUUCUGGAUGUGCAAAGUUCAUCAACUCCGCAGUCGCUUCCCCCCCCCUCCCCGCUCCGCUUCGCCCCGCGGGGAGGGAGGUGGGCGAGGAGCUGGCGACCCCGGCGCCCCGGCCGCCGUCGUGGCCCCCGCCCCGGCCCCCCGCCCCGCUUGCCCGCCCGCACGCUCGGAGCCCCGCUCUCCCCCUCUCACCCUGAUAAGUAG
This 1284-nucleotide long non-coding RNA is filed under the name Bos indicus x Bos taurus (hybrid cattle). RNAcentral describes it as "lncRNA (ENSBIXG00005026406.1)". Lineage: Eukaryota; Metazoa; Chordata; Mammalia; Artiodactyla; Bovidae. The record is from RNAcentral.